UCAAACUUGGUCAUUUAGAGGAAGUAAAAGUCGUAACAAGGUCUCCGUUGGUGAACCAGCGGAGGGAUCAUUAUAGAGUUUUUACAACUCCCAACCCAUGUGAACUUACCUUUGUUGCCUCGGCGGGGCCUACCCGGUACCUACCCUGUAGCCCGCCGAUGGAUUUUCAAACUCUUGUUAUUUUAUGUUAUCUGAAUGUCUUAUUUUAAUAAGUCAAAACUUUCAACAACGGAUCUCUUGGUUCUGGCAUCGAUGAAGAACGCAGC
RNAcentral lists this unclassified non-coding RNA (266 nucleotides) under uncultured fungus. RNAcentral describes it as "partial contains small subunit ribosomal RNA, internal transcribed spacer 1, and 5.8S ribosomal RNA". The stretch from base 1 to 73 matches the Rfam family "Eukaryotic small subunit ribosomal RNA", at positions 1759 to 1831 of the family's 1831-position model. The record is from RNAcentral. Lineage: Eukaryota; Fungi.